Molecule: ribosomal RNA, 1499 nt
Filed under: uncultured bacterium
Lineage: Bacteria
Description: partial 16S rRNA
Rfam family: Bacterial small subunit ribosomal RNA
Source: RNAcentral
AGAGUUUGAUCCUGGCUCAGGAUGAACGCUAGCGACAGGCUUAACACAUGCAAGUCGAGGGGCAGCGGGGGAGUGAGGCUUGCCUUACUUUGCCGGCGACCGGCGCACGGGUGAGUAACACGUAUGCAACCUACCCUUUACAGCGGGAUAACCGGAAGAAAUUUCGCCUAAUACCGCAUAUACUCCUUGGGAGGCAUCUUCCGAGGGGGAAAGAAUUUCGGUGAAGGAUGGGCAUGCGUCGCAUUAGUUAGUUGGCGGUGUAACGGACCACCAAGACGACGAUGCGUAGGGGUUCUGAGAGGAAGGUCCCCCACACUGGUACUGAGACACGGACCAGACUCCUACGGGAGGCAGCAGUGAGGAAUAUUGGUCAAUGGCCGAGAGGCUGAACCAGCCAAGUCGCGUGAGGGAAGAAUGUCCUAUGGAUUGUAAACCUCUUUUGUCAGGGAGCAAAGUCACCCACGUGUGGGUGUUGGAGAGUACCUGAAGAAAAAGCAUCGGCUAACUCCGUGCCAGCAGCCGCGGUAAUACGGAGGAUGCGAGCGUUAUCCGGAUUUAUUGGGUUUAAAGGGUGCGUAGGCGGGUUAUCAAGUCAGCGGUAAAAUCGUGGAGCUCAACUCCAUCCAGCCGUUGAAACUGAUGAUCUUGAGUGGGCGAGAAGUAUGCGGAAUGCGUGGUGUAGCGGUGAAAUGCAUAGAUAUCACGCAGAACUCCGAUUGCGAAGGCAGCAUACCGGCGCCCGACUGACGCUGAAGCACGAAAGCGUGGGUAUCGAACAGGAUUAGAUACCCCUGGUAGUCCACGCAGUAAACGAUGAAUACUAAUUGUGUGCUCCGAAUGAGGAGUGCGUGAUACAGCGAAAGCGUUAAGUAUUCCACCUGGGGAGUACGCCGGCAACGGUGAAACUCAAAGGAAUUGACGGGGGCCCGCACAAGCGGAGGAACAUGUGGUUUAAUUCGAUGAUACGCGAGGAACCUUACCCGGGCUCAAACGCAGGAGGGAUGUUUUUGAAAGGAGGCAGCUCUACGGAGUCUCCUGCGAGGUGCUGCAUGGUUGUCGUCAGCUCGUGCCGUGAGGUGUCGGCUUAAGUGCCAUAACGAGCGCAACCCCUACCGCCAGUUGCCAACGGGUAAAGCCGGGAACUCUGGCGGGACUGCCGGCGCAAGCUGUGAGGAAGGCGGGGAUGACGUCAAAUCAGCACGGCCCUUACGUCCGGGGCGACACACGUGUUACAAUGGCAGGUACAGCGGGAAGCCACUUGGCGACAAGGCGCGGAACCCGAAAACCUGUCUCAGUUCGGAUUGGAGUCUGCAACCCGACUCCAUGAAGCUGGAUUCGCUAGUAAUCGCGCAUCAGCCACGGCGCGGUGAAUACGUUCCCGGGCCUUGUACACACCGCCCGUCAAGCCAUGGAAGCCGGGGGUGCCUGAAGUGCGUGACCGCAAGGAGCGCCCUAAGGUAAAACCGGUGACUGGGGCUAAGUCGUAACAAGGUAACCAA